Python bivittatus (Burmese python) is the source of this 2919-nucleotide non-coding RNA. The record is from RefSeq and is a predicted model, not a curated record. Lineage: Eukaryota; Metazoa; Chordata; Lepidosauria; Squamata; Pythonidae.
GCUGCAGAGUAAUGGAAAGAUGAGAAAGAGAAAAACAAUUCUGGCAGCAGUCACCUCUACCAUCUCUAGAACGCUUAAAGGCACCACCCAAAAAGCUAAAGAAUAAGGACUCUCCAUUGCUCUGCAGCCUGCCUAUUUUCUGCCCUGAAUGAAUCAAAAGGAAUAAGUUUGCUCAUUAUCACUUCAAUUGGAAUUUGAGGCUACAUAAACCAGAGGCUGCAGUCGGUUGAAGAGGAAAGUUAGGGCAAUUCUUCAGUGACUUUGUGAAGAAGGUUUUCAUCCUGCAUUUUCUUAAGGAAAGAGUUCAACCUUCCCUCCCUCCAGUUUUUCACCAUCACAACAACUCUAACAGUGGAUGAUUGAUCGUGCCCGCCAGCUGCCUAAUAUCAUAAUUAACAAAGUUGCUACCGUGUCUGAGAAGUUUAAUCGAAAAAAAUUGCCAACACUGUGAUGCUGUUGUUACCCAUAAAGAUCAGAAGCAGGGCAAAGUCGACUUUUGGACUAAUGGAGCUGCAGAACUAUGUGGGCAGAAUAAGAAGUAGAGCACCUGAAUGGAUAAUGUAAGAAGAUAGUAUACUAAAAAGGACCAUGAUACAGUCUGACUGUGUUACUUUGAACACCAAAAUUACUUUCUAGAAUUCAGAAUGGAAAAAGAUAUCUGCAAAGGAAUUUCAGAACUAUUAUCAAAACGAUUAAAAAAUAGCCUUAACAGAUACUUAGAUAUGGUUUCCAAGCAGUUCGUUACAUUUUAAGUGAAAUGAAGAAAGUCAAUUUGGAGUAAUCAGAUGUGUGGAUUGAGAGGUGCUUUUGGAACAAAGCAGAACCCAAAUCCUGGGAAAAGAAGAUAGUCGAUUCACCUGUGAGGAAGACUUUCUAUAGGAAAAGUCAACAUGUCCUCCAACAUUGUUUGCAGUCAGUUAUCAAAAUAGGGCCACAGAAAUACGGAGAUCACUGUAUAUGGAGGCUAAUAAUGAAGGAGUCAGUGAAAGAGCCAGUGCCAUGAGAGUUAUCUCAUGGCCCCAGAUGCUGGAUAAGUUGAAGAAGGCAGAAAUCACUUCUGGAUGACAUUCAGGUCUGAAUGAUGAUUUGAAGAAGAAAAGACUGUUAUUUCCAAGCUUCAGCAAUAUAUUCCUGAGACAAAAGAUCCACUCCAUGCUCCAUCACGCCUAAAAAAGAAGCUUUGAAGAAAUUGCUAGGCUUACUUACAAUGAGAGAAAUUACGCACACAGCAGAAAAUGAAAAAAGGCACAUAGAUACUGUGAAUACUUCAGAAAAGUGCCAAAGACCUGGUUGAGAAAUGGCUUCACAAGGUCCACUGACUCCACAAAACCUGAGAAGAAUUGCUCCAGUUAAGUGGAUUAGAUAUCAAAUUACAGAUGAAUUGACCGUCUACCUUUGUCGGUAUUAGAGUUAUACGCACAACAUUCAAGGACACAUCUUAACUACUUCGUCAUGUUGCCUUUCAUCUCUGAAGCUGUUUAAUUAAUCUGAAGAUAAAGGUGCCUUGCAAUUUAUAUGCCAUCAAAAUUAUUCCUGGAAUGUGUAACAGAAAAUCACCACAGAAGUCUUGUGGUCAUCUGUUAAUUUAUGAUUUUUUAUAGUUGCAUAGAAUAUUGAGAGGAAUUAGGGCUGGCCCUGCCAUUAGAUUGAUUGACAUGGCCAUUCAGGUGAUGAGGAAAGAUGGGGCAUUGCUUCAAAACCAAGCUCAUUUGUUUACCUGUUCACCUACCUGCCAGCAGCAGUCUGCCACUCCUCCUUGCUACCAGGUUCCUCCCAUACUCCUUGCUAAGGGCAGUGCCUUGUUCUAGAAUGACAAACUACAGUGAUGCUAUUCCUUCCCUUUGAGGCCAAAUUCUUUGUUCUGAAUACUUCUUCUCAAUGAGGCAUUGAGAGCUAGGUAUAGCAGCACAGAUGACUAGCUUCCACUGUGCCUUCUUCUGAACACUUGGCAAAUGGCUGCUUGACCUUACUCUGUCAAGGGAGCUAAGAUCUAUAGAUUAUUAUAUUUUAAUACAGACUCUUCUGAAGUAAGACACUUUUUCCAAUUCUCCUUUUCUUCUCUCCCCAUUUUCUUACUACAUCUUUGCAAUAGUGUAUCAAAUUCGAAUUUGCAGCUAUGAUAUUUUAUUGUGAGAUGCUCUCUGGAAGUGCCCUAAUGAUGUGCAUGCCUUGGAAAGGAAAUCAGUUGAAGAGACUUAAAUUUCAAGACUGCACCAUGAGUAUAACUUAUCCUGCAUAUUGUUUGUUUAAAUUGCAUAAGUGUAAGCUAGGAACACCAGUAAGUGAAAUACUGCAGUACACUCUGUUCUGAGAAUAGCAGUGUAAUGAGGAACUGUGCUUUAUAGCACUAUCCACUUGCUAUUUGAUAUCAUAGAGAAUUACAAUAAUUUAUGACACUGGAACUUAGCUGUGCAAUGACCUUGAAGGACUGAAGGAGUUGGGGGAUGUACUUGUUGAAGAAAUAAAUAUAAAUGUGGAGCAAUCAACCCUAUCUAUAUUCAAGAAAUGCAUAGAUUUUUAAUUUGGUCAAGCUAUAUGAAAUAAUAAACUUUGCAAAAAUCUGUUUUAAAAAUAUGAAGAAUGCUCAAAAUAUCACAAUUAUUAUAAACUGUUGCAAAUGGAUCUUAUAAAUAUUAUUUCAGUUAAGAAAGAAUAUUUAAUAAUUUAAUACUUGUGAUUGAAAAAAAAGUCUAACAUUCAAAAUCUUCAUCAUUCUCUCAUUGGACAGAUUUUAAAAGUCAGAUUGUUUUUUAACUGCAGUAUUUUCUAAAUUCUCUUCCCUAAAAUACUGCCUGUUCUCUUAGUUAUUUAAUAAAUAUGGCUACUGUUGACUUUUGGAUUAUAAACGCUUCUCUGCCAUUAUCUUUAAAUGUGUAAUAAUUUCUAAGAAUAACUUUAAAAUGAAUGUCUUUGUAUUAA